This 253-nucleotide ribosomal RNA is filed under the name uncultured bacterium. RNAcentral describes it as "partial 16S ribosomal RNA". It matches the Rfam family "Bacterial small subunit ribosomal RNA", at positions 524 to 776 of the family's 1533-position model. The record is from RNAcentral.
UACGGGGGGGGCAAGCGUUGUUCGGAAUUACUGGGCGUAAAGGGCUCGUAGGCGGCCAACUAAGUCAUACGUGAAAUCCCUCGGCUUAACCGGGGAACUGCGUCUGAUACUGGAUGGCUUGAGUUCGGGAGAGGGAUGCGGAAUUCCAGGUGUAGCGGUGAAAUGCGUAGAUAUCUGGAGGAACACCGGUGGCGAAGGCGGUUCUCUGGGCAUUACCUGACGCUGAGGAGCGAAAGUGUGGGGAGCGAACAGG